GUGGCGACGCUACCUGCAGUCGACGGUAGCACAGAGAGCUUGCUCUCGGGUGACGAGUGGCGGACGGGUGAGUAAUGUCUGGGAAACUGCCUGAUGGAGGGGGAUAACUACUGGAAACGGUAGCUAAUACCGCAUAACGUCGCAAGACCAAAGAGGGGGACCUUCGGGCCUCUUGCCAUCAGAUGUGCCCAGAUGGGAUUAGCUAGUAGGUGGGGUAACGGCUCACCUAGGCGACGAUCCCUAGCUGGUCUGAGAGGAUGACCAGCCACACUGGAACUGAGACACGGUCCAGACUCCUACGGGAGGCAGCAGUGGGGAAUAUUGCACAAUGGGCGCAAGCCUGAUGCAGCCAUGCCGCGUGUAUGAAGAAGGCCUUCGGGUUGUAAAGUACUUUCAGCGGGGAGGAAGGUGUUGUGGUUAAUAACCGCAGCAAUUGACGUUACCCGCAGAAGAAGCACCGGCUAACUCCGUGCCAGCAGCCGCGGUAAUACGGAGGGUGCAAGCGUUAAUCGGAAUUACUGGGCGUAAAGCGCACGCAGGCGGUCUGUCAAGUCGGAUGUGAAAUCCCCGGGCUCAACCUGGGAACUGCAUUCGAAACUG
This 600-nucleotide ribosomal RNA is filed under the name Enterobacter cloacae. RNAcentral's name for it is "bacterial SSU rRNA". It matches the Rfam family "Bacterial small subunit ribosomal RNA", at positions 39 to 635 of the family's 1533-position model. Lineage: Bacteria; Pseudomonadati; Pseudomonadota; Gammaproteobacteria; Enterobacterales; Enterobacteriaceae. The record is from RNAcentral.